GUUUUUGUGAUGAGUACUAUACCCUAUCAAGAAUAGACGAGAAAGCAGGAGUGAAUGUGGAGCCUCCUUAAUUAGGGAAGUUCAAUAUUCUCUGUGUUGUCCGUUGAGGUGUGUGUACAGUUUUGUAUGUUUGACCCUGUCCUGACUGAGUAUGAUGUAUGAUCCUCCUGAAACAGAAAUCUGCAUUUGGCAAAGUGCCAGGAGUAUUUUCUCAUUUACUCUAUUGGUGAUUAUCGGGCAGUGGAGCAAUGGAAAUUUCUGGAGCUGAAAUAACGAGCUGGUGGCAGAGAAGUGACAGGCAGCCAAUGAAUGCUGAGGAGAGUAAGGUACACUAACAGGAAGAAUAUUGAACUGCUUGAGCAUCUGCAGAGGAGAACAAUGAAGCUGGUGAAGGGACUAGAAAACAAGAAUUAAGAGGAGCAGCUAAGGGAACUGAAGUUGUUUAGUCUGGGGUAGUGGACACUGAGGGGAGACCUCGUCACUCUCUACAACUACCUGAAAGGAGGCUGCAGUGAGAUGUGUCUUGGUUUCUUUUAUCAGGUGACAAGUGAUAGGAUGUAAAGAAAUGGCCUCAAGUUACACCAAGACUGGACAUUAAGAAAAAUUUCUUCAUGGAGAGGGUGGUCCAGCAUUGGAACAGGCUGCCCAGAUGUCCUGUUUUCAGUUGGGAUAGAGUUGAUUUUCCUCCUAGUAGCUGGUAGGGUGCUGUGUUUUGGAUUGGGAUGAGAGGAGUGCUGGUAACAUAGUGAUGUUUUAAUUGUUGCAGAGCAGUGCUUACACCAAGCCAAGGACUUUUCAGCUUCUCGCUCUGUCCUGCUAGCGAGCAGACUAGGGAUGCAGCAGGAGCUGGGAGGGGACAGACCCAGGACAGCUGACCCAAACUGGCCAAAGGGGUAUUCCAUACCAUCUGACGUCAUGCUGAACAAUAUAUAGGGGUGGCUAGCUGCGGGGUGGGGGGGCGGCUGCUCGGGGAUAGGCUGGGCAUCGGUCAAUGGGUGGUGAGCAAUUGCAUUGUUCAUCACUUGUUUUGUACACAUUAUUAUUAGUAGUACUAUUAUCAU
This is a long non-coding RNA of Cygnus atratus (black swan), 1061 nucleotides long. RefSeq lists it as uncharacterized. The transcript is spliced from 5 exons. The record is from RefSeq and is a predicted model, not a curated record. Lineage: Eukaryota; Metazoa; Chordata; Aves; Anseriformes; Anatidae.